GAGUAACACGUGGGAAACCUGCCCAGAAGCGGGGGAUAACACCUGGAAACAGAUGCUAAUACCGCAUAACAACUUGGACCGCAUGGUCCGAGUUUGAAAGAUGGCUUCGGCUAUCACUUUUGGAUGGUCCCGCGGCGUAUUAGCUAGAUGGUGGGGUAACGGCUCACCAUGGCAAUGAUACGUAGCCGACCUGAGAGGGUAAUCGGCCACAUUGGGACUGAGACACGGCCCAAACUCCUACGGGAGGCAGCAGUAGGGAAUCUUCCACAAUGGACGAAAGUCUGAUGGAGCAACGCCGCGUGAGUGAAGAAGGGUUUCGGCUCGUAAAACUCUGUUGUUAAAGAAGAACAUAUCUGAGAGUAACUGUUCAGGUAUUGACGGUAUUUAACCAGAAAGCCACGGCUAACUACGUGCCAGCAGCCGCGGUAAUACGUAGGUGGCAAGCGUUGUCCGGAUUUAUUGGGCGUAAAGCGAGCGCAGGCGGUUUUUUAAGUCUGAUGUGAAAGCCUUCGGCUCAACCGAAGAAGUGCAUCGGAAACUGGGAAACUUGAGUGCAGAAGAGGACAGUGGAACUCCAUGUGUAGCGGUGAAAUGCGUAGAUAUAUGGAAGAACACCAGUGGCGAAGGCGGCUGUCUGGUCUGUAACUGACGCUGAGGCUCGAAAGUAUGGGUAGCAAACAGGAUUAGAUACCCUGGUAGUCCAUACCGUAAACGAUGAAUGCUAAGUGUUGGAGGGUUUCCGCCCUUCAGUGCUGCAGCUAACGCAUUAAGCAUUCCGCCUGGGGAGUACGGCCGCAAGGCUGAAACUCAAAGGAAUUGACGGGGGCCCGCACAAGCGGUGGAGCAUGUGGUUUAAUUCGAAGCUACGCGAAGAACCUUACCAGGUCUUGACAUACUAUGCAAAUCUAAGAGAUUAGACGUUCCCUUCGGGGACAUGGAUACAGGUGGUGCAUGGUUGUCGUCAGCUCGUGUCGUGAGAUGUUGGGUUAAGUCCCGCAACGAGCGCAACCCUUAUUAUCAGUUGCCAGCAUUAAGUUGGGCACUCUGGUGAGACUGCCGGUGACAAACCGGAGGAAGGUGGGGAUGACGUCAAAUCAUCAUGCCCCUUAUGACCUGGGCUACACACGUGCUACAAUGGAUGGUACAACGAGUUGCGAACUCGCGAGAGUAAGCUAAUCUCUUAAAGCCAUUCUCAGUUCGGAUUGUAGGCUGCAACUCGCCUACAUGAAGUCGGAAUCGCUAGUAAUCGCGGAUCAGCAUGCCGCGGUGAAUACGUUCCCGGGCCUUGUACACACCGCCCGUCACACCAUGAGAGUUUGUAACACCCAAAGUCGGUGGGGUAACCUUUUAGGAACCAGCCGCCUAAGGUGGGACAGAUGAUUAGGGUGAAGUCGUAACAAGGU
This 1403-nucleotide ribosomal RNA is filed under the name Lactiplantibacillus plantarum. RNAcentral's name for it is "bacterial SSU rRNA". It matches the Rfam family "Bacterial small subunit ribosomal RNA". The record is from RNAcentral. Lineage: Bacteria; Bacillati; Bacillota; Bacilli; Lactobacillales; Lactobacillaceae.